UCUUCCACGACUUUUGUGCCGUAGCUAACGCAUUAAGCGCCCCGCCUGGGGAGUACGGCCGCAAGGCUAAAACUCAAAGGAAUUGACGGGGGCCCGCACAAGCGGCGGAGCAUGUGGAUUAAUUCGAUGCAACGCGAAGAACCUUACCUGGGCUUGACAUAUGCAUGAUCGGCGUAGAGAUACGUUUUCCCUUGUGGUUUGUAUACAGGUGGUGCAUGGUUGUCGUCAGCUCGUGUCGUGAGAUGUUGGGUUAAGUCCCGCAACGAGCGCAACCCUUGUCUUAUGUUGCCAGCACGUUAUGGUGGGGACUCAUGAGAGACUGCCGGGGUUAACUCGGAGGAAGGUGGGGAUGACGUCAAAUCAUCAUGCCCCUUAUGUCCAGGGCUUCACACAUGCUACAAUGGUCGGUACAACGCGUUGCGAGCCUGUGAGGGUGAGCGAAUCGCUGAAAGCCGGCCUCAGUUCGGAUUGGGGUCUGCAACUCGACCCCAUGAAGUCGGAGUCGCUAGUAAUCGCAGAUCAGC
This 524-nucleotide ribosomal RNA is filed under the name uncultured Corynebacterium sp. RNAcentral's name for it is "bacterial SSU rRNA". It matches the Rfam family "Bacterial small subunit ribosomal RNA", at positions 829 to 1353 of the family's 1533-position model. The record is from RNAcentral. Lineage: Bacteria; Bacillati; Actinomycetota; Actinomycetes; Mycobacteriales; Corynebacteriaceae.